This 451-nucleotide ribosomal RNA is filed under the name uncultured bacterium. RNAcentral describes it as "partial 16S ribosomal RNA". It matches the Rfam family "Bacterial small subunit ribosomal RNA", at positions 28 to 507 of the family's 1533-position model. The record is from RNAcentral.
GAUGAACGCUGGCGGAGUGCCUAACACAUGCAAGUCGAGCGGCAGCGCGAGUAGUUUACUACUUGGCGGCGAGCGGCGGACGGCUGAGUAACGCGUGGGAACAUGCCCCCAAGUGAGGAAUAACUGCCCGAAAGGGUAGCUAAUGCCGCAUAUGAUCUUCGGAUUAAAGGAUUUAUCCGCUUUGGGAGUGGCCUGCGUACGAUUAGAUAGUUGGUGAGGUAAAGGCUCACCAAGUCGACGAUCGUUAACUGGUUUGAGAGGAUGAUCAGUCAGACUGGAACUGAGACACGGUCCAGACUCCUACGGGAAGCAGCAGUGAGGAAUCUUCCACAAUGGGCGAAAGCCUGAUGGAGCAACUCCGCGUGCAGGAUGAAGGCCUUCGGGUUGUAAACUGCUUUUAUGAGUGAAGAAUAUGACGGUAACUCAUGAAUAAGGGUCGGCUAACUACGUG